Long non-coding RNA from Leopardus geoffroyi (Geoffroy's cat), 382 nucleotides. RefSeq lists it as uncharacterized. The transcript has 3 exons. Lineage: Eukaryota; Metazoa; Chordata; Mammalia; Carnivora; Felidae. The record is from RefSeq and is a predicted model, not a curated record.
CUCUCCUAGUGGUUUGCCUGAACCCCGCCAGGUGCCUCCACAGGCCUCAUCUCCGCGGAUCUCUAUUGUACUCGUGUAGUGAUACUAGAGUACAACCGGUUCCCGAUGAGUGGUCUGCUGCAGCAAUGGAACAAGUCACGCUGGUGCCUUCAACUCUAAAGUGGAUUGCAGGAUAUCACAGUAUGUACACAUUGGAGUGGGAAUUUUAAGAUGACUGCAAGAGAAGUACUUUGGCAGGGGCUGGAAGAGAUGGCAAGUGAAACGAAAGGGUGCACGGGUGUUGUAGGGUCCUCCAGGUUCUUCCAAUGAUUCUGGAGAUGCCCAUUUGGAACUGAAAGCCUCUGAUACUGUAAGGUGGAAGGGAUGAUGCUCCAAACAAGGA